RNAcentral lists this ribosomal RNA (497 nucleotides) under uncultured bacterium. RNAcentral's name for it is "partial 16S ribosomal RNA". It matches the Rfam family "Bacterial small subunit ribosomal RNA", at positions 28 to 507 of the family's 1533-position model. The record is from RNAcentral.
GAUGAACGCUGGCGGCGUGCCUAAUACAUGCAAGUCGAGCGAACGGACGAGAAGCUUGCUUCUCUGAUGUUAGCGGCGGACGGGUGAGUAACACGUGGAUAACCUACCUAUAAGACUGGGAUAACUUCGGGAAACCGGAGCUAAUACAGGAUAAUAUUUUGAACCGCAUGGUUCAAAAGUGAAAGACGGUCUUGCUGACACUUAUAGAUGGAUCCGCGCUGCAUUAGCUAGUUGGUAAGGUAACGGCUUACCAAGGCAACGAUGCGUAACCGACCUGAGAGGAUGAUCAGCCACACGGGAACUGAGACACGGUCCAGCCUCCUACGGGAGGCCGCAGUGGGGAAUAGUGGACACUGUGCGAAAGCCUGAUCCAGCAAUGCCGCGUGUGUGAAGAAGGUCUUCGGAUUUUAAAGCACUUUAAGUUGGGAGGAACGGCAGUAAGCUAAUACCUUGCUGUUUUGACGUUACCAACAGAAUAAGCACCGGCUAACUUCGUG